Acanthopagrus latus (yellowfin seabream) is the source of this 400-nucleotide long non-coding RNA. RefSeq lists it as uncharacterized. NCBI's taxonomy places the organism in Eukaryota, Metazoa, Chordata, Actinopteri, Spariformes, Sparidae. The record is from RefSeq and is a predicted model, not a curated record. The transcript is spliced from 3 exons.
CAGGGAUCGAAGUGUCUGGGCUGCCAUGACAACAGUUAGAGGAAGAAGCUACUGCUAAUCUAGAUCAGAUACAGAAAAAGCCUUUGGUGCAGACUACCAACUCACUCUGGCUCGCUAGCUGCAAGUGUGCUGAGCUACCAGUCUGAUCUGAGCAGGUGGACCAUUGUCAGCACGAGACACAGUCAUUCCUGGCACCAGGCUUGCAGUGCGCUGCUGAAAUCACCACACCCUCUACCACGCCCUUCCUCCCUCUGGGGCACAUGGGCAUCCACGAACAGAGCACAGCAGCUUGGUGGUGUAUCCCACGGUGGCAGCCCGGUCACUUAGAGCGGUGGUGAACUUGGGCGCCUCACUGAAGUCGUGCUCCUGGUACUCAGGUGGCUUAUAGACAAUACCUGUG